UCCCUGAUGGUCAAGUGGUUAAGAUGCGGAGCUUUUACCGCCCGUGGCCUGGGUUUGAUUCCCAGUCAGGGAA
Non-coding RNA from Syngnathus acus (greater pipefish), 73 nucleotides. Lineage: Eukaryota; Metazoa; Chordata; Actinopteri; Syngnathiformes; Syngnathidae. The record is from the annotation of a RefSeq genome assembly.